RNAcentral lists this ribosomal RNA (1119 nucleotides) under Triticum aestivum (bread wheat). RNAcentral describes it as "partial small subunit ribosomal RNA". The record is from RNAcentral. Lineage: Eukaryota; Viridiplantae; Streptophyta; Magnoliopsida; Poales; Poaceae.
AUGGCGACGGCGAGGCGGGGAGGAGUGGGCUGGAGAGCGGUUCUUGCGGCGGUGCUGCAGCUUCUCGUGGCGGCGGAGGCCGGGAAGUACAACGCGGUGUUCAAUUUUGGGGACUCCCUGGUGGACGCCGGCAACCUGGUGACCGAGGGCAUCCCGGACUACCUCGCCACGGCGCGGCCGCCCUACGGCCAGUCUUACUUCGGGUACCCCACCGGCCGCUGCUCCGACGGCCGCCUCGUCAUCGAUUUCAUCGCGCAAGAGUUCGGGCUGCCGCUGCUGCCCCCGUCCAAGGCCAAGAACGCCAGCUUCGCGCAGGGCGCCAACUUCGCCAUCACCGGCGCCACGGCGCUCGACACGGAGUUCUUCGAGAAGCGGGGGCUCGGGAAGAGCGUCUGGAACUCCGGGUUACUCUUCACCCAAAUCCAGUGGCUACGCGACCUCAAGCCCUCCUUUUGUAACUCCACCCAAGAGUGCAAGGAUUUCUUUGCCAAGUCCCUGUUCGUCGUGGGUGAAUUGGCCGGAAAUGACUACAACGCGCCGCUCUUUGCCGGGAAGGAUCUCAGCGAGGCCUACAACCUGAUACCCCAUGUCGUUCAGGGCAUCUCAGAUGGUGUCGAGCAAUUGAUUGCCGAGGGGGCAAAGGAUUUAAUUGUGCCUGGAGUGAUGCCGUCUGGGUGCUUUCCAGUGUACCUGAGCAUGUAUGUUGAUCCUAAAGAGGGGUACGGUCCGCGUACCGGCUGCCUCAAGCGAUUCAACACAUUUUCAUGGGUGCACAAUGCGAUGCUCAAGCGUGCGCUGGAGAAGCUUCGUGCCAAGCACCCUGGCGUCAGGAUCAUAUAUGGGGAUUACUUUACACCAGUUAUCCAGUUCUUGCUUCAGCCUGAAAAGUUUGGAUUUCACAAGCAGCCGCCUAGAGCAUGCUGCGGCGCUCCCGGGAAGGGCCCUUACAACUUCAAUCUGACAGCCAAGUGCGGCGAGCCUGGUGCUACGCCGUGUCCUGAUCCAAAGACACAUUGGAGCUGGGACGGCAUUCACUUGACUGAAGCCGCAUAUGAGCACAUUGCCAAAGGUUGGUUGCAUGGCGAAUUCGCGGAUCAACCUAUCAUACAAUCUUCCUGA